Long non-coding RNA from Myotis brandtii (Brandt's bat), 245 nucleotides. RefSeq lists it as uncharacterized. The transcript is spliced from 3 exons. The record is from RefSeq and is a predicted model, not a curated record. Lineage: Eukaryota; Metazoa; Chordata; Mammalia; Chiroptera; Vespertilionidae.
CUGGACGGAGGAUCACAGUGCCCUGUGGACCUGAGGCCCCAGAGAGGUGAGGACAGAGGACAGGCUGCAGGGAGAGCAGCCUGGACGGACGGACGCUCACAGCGCCCUGUGGACCUGAGGCCCCAGAGAGGCGAGGACAGAGGACAGGCUGCAGGGAGAGCAGGAUCAAGUUAUUCAUAAAAGAAAAACUGGAACUGCAAACAACCCAGGGAUUCCACAGCAGGGGAGCAAUUAAAUACGAAAGG